This 1003-nucleotide ribosomal RNA is filed under the name Salmonella enterica subsp. enterica serovar Heidelberg. RNAcentral's name for it is "bacterial SSU rRNA". It matches the Rfam family "Bacterial small subunit ribosomal RNA", at positions 1 to 991 of the family's 1533-position model. RNAcentral also lists the same sequence under 1 other name. Lineage: Bacteria; Pseudomonadati; Pseudomonadota; Gammaproteobacteria; Enterobacterales; Enterobacteriaceae. The record is from RNAcentral.
UUAAAUUGAAGAGUUUGAUCAUGGCUCAGAUUGAACGCUGGCGGCAGGCCUAACACAUGCAAGUCGAACGGUAACAGGAAGCAGCUUGCUGCUUUGCUGACGAGUGGCGGACGGGUGAGUAAUGUCUGGGAAACUGCCUGAUGGAGGGGGAUAACUACUGGAAACGGUGGCUAAUACCGCAUAACGUCGCAAGACCAAAGAGGGGGACCUUCGGGCCUCUUGCCAUCAGAUGUGCCCAGAUGGGAUUAGCUUGUUGGUGAGGUAACGGCUCACCAAGGCGACGAUCCCUAGCUGGUCUGAGAGGAUGACCAGCCACACUGGAACUGAGACACGGUCCAGACUCCUACGGGAGGCAGCAGUGGGGAAUAUUGCACAAUGGGCGCAAGCCUGAUGCAGCCAUGCCGCGUGUAUGAAGAAGGCCUUCGGGUUGUAAAGUACUUUCAGCGGGGAGGAAGGUGUUGUGGUUAAUAACCACAGCAAUUGACGUUACCCGCAGAAGAAGCACCGGCUAACUCCGUGCCAGCAGCCGCGGUAAUACGGAGGGUGCAAGCGUUAAUCGGAAUUACUGGGCGUAAAGCGCACGCAGGCGGUCUGUCAAGUCGGAUGUGAAAUCCCCGGGCUCAACCUGGGAACUGCAUUCGAAACUGGCAGGCUUGAGUCUUGUAGAGGGGGGUAGAAUUCCAGGUGUAGCGGUGAAAUGCGUAGAGAUCUGGAGGAAUACCGGUGGCGAAGGCGGCCCCCUGGACAAAGACUGACGCUCAGGUGCGAAAGCGUGGGGAGCAAACAGGAUUAGAUACCCUGGUAGUCCACGCCGUAAACGAUGUCUACUUGGAGGUUGUGCCCUUGAGGCGUGGCUUCCGGAGCUAACGCGUUAAGUAGACCGCCUGGGGAGUACGGCCGCAAGGUUAAAACUCAAAUGAAUUGACGGGGGCCCGCACAAGCGGUGGAGCAUGUGGUUUAAUUCGAUGCAACGCGAAGAACCUUACCUGGUCUUGACAUCCAC